This 92-nucleotide transfer RNA is filed under the name Cordylochernes scorpioides. RNAcentral describes it as "tRNA-Gly". Lineage: Eukaryota; Metazoa; Arthropoda; Arachnida; Pseudoscorpiones; Chernetidae. The record is from RNAcentral.
CGUCCCGCCCCAAACAAUCGGCCGGGAAUCGAACCCGGGGCGCCCGCGUGGCAGGCGAGCAUUCUACCACUGAACCAAAAGCAAACGGUGAC